ACACACGCACACGUACACACGCACACACACAUCCACCCCAGUUUACCGGACCCCUCCUCCAUCGCUGCUCCACUUACAGUCUCUCUCUCUUUCUCUCUCACCAUUUCCUCUACACCAGCAGAGCCUCUGUAACAUCCUCAAACCUCCCUCGCUCACUCCUUCUCCCUCCCUGCGUCUCUCGCUCAUCUCUCUUCACUCUCCCAGUAUACCCACCAUCAGCUCACUUAGCUCACUCCAACUCCAGCUCACGCCGACUCCAGCCCCUUCUUUUGUUCCUGCCCUCCUCACUGCUGUCGGCCCUCAGCUCCUCCAGACAAAAGAAAAUCAACUCAAAAAAACUUUUGGAAUUCUUUUUCCGGCGUUUUUUUUUUUUUUUUAACCUCUCUGACCCUCCGCUCUUCCUCCAGACGGGGAGAGGCUGACUGGUGUGCACGAGCUGACACCCGGUGCCUUGCUCUUUACCCUCCUGAGGAACUCUCGCUGCCACCGGUGACCGGAGGAAGACGUGCACGGAGAACAUCUCAAUAUUCUUUACUCGUGUUUGAGGUUAUCCGCCACCAUGAAAGUUCAGCUGCUGAUCCUGUUGGCCCUGGCCGGUCCCUUCUGCGGCAUCACACGUGCCAGUCCCACCGGUCUCCCCGCAGAAAUGGGGGGUGUAACCGAGGUAACGGCUGAAAUCCCAGAGGAAGUGCACGGUGUGUUCACCGGGGCCCCCGCGACCGCACCAGCAGCUCUCCCCGCCGAAGUCACCGCAGAAGCCACCUCAGAGGUCGCCACGGAGACCGCCGCCGAGGCCACCCCGGAAAAACCCACAGAGGCCACCGUAGAAGCCGACACACAGGCCGCCCUAGAGGUCGCCACCGGGGCGGCCACCGUAUCCGAAACGGAGGCUGCGACGGCGCAGGCGACCGCGGAAGACGCUUUCACCACCCAGGCCGCCCUCGUGGAGUCCACGGCUGCGGAGACUGGCUCGCAGCGGAGGUGACGGAAGCGGCGGCUGAGACUACGGCAGAGGUCGACGCGGGGAAGACAGCGGCAUCCACGGACACCCUGGUGGACCCUAGCGCAACGGCCGAGGUGGAAAUGGAGGCUGAAGGGAUGAGUUCGGGCCAGGUGGCCGGAGUGAUCAUCGGCGCCUUGAUCGCGAUCGUCAUCGUCAUCGCUGUGGUCAUCGCCCUCGUGAGGAGGAUGGGCAAAUACUCUCCAUGAAGGAAAGAAGGAAAAAACAAAGAGGCAGGAGCGCCCAGAGUUCUGGAAAUUGUGAACUACUGAAAUGUGAUGUCAUUUCCUGUCAUUAAACAACCAUGCUAUCAGCACUAGUCAAGCACUAGUGUGGUGUGUGUGUGUGUGUGUGUGUGUGUGUGUGUGUGUGUGUGUGUGUGUGUGUGUGUGUGUGUGGGUGUGGGUGUGGGUGUGUGUGUGUGAGAGAGUGUGAGAGUGUGCGUGUGUGCGUCUCUGUGUUAUUCAGAGUAUGUGUGUGUGCGCCUGCGCGUGUGUGUGUGUGUGUGUGAGUACGCCUGUGUGUGCGCCUGUGUCUUUGUGUGUCUGUGUUUGUGUGUCUGUGUUUGUGUGUCUGUGUGUGUGUGUGUUUAUAUGUUUGUGUCGGUGGGCUGGUGGAGAAGAAAAAGGACAAGCCAAUCAUCCGCAGCUCCUCCCGCAGCUCCACCAACCACCACCACCCCACCCCUCAUCUCCAUCCACCCCCCCCCCCCCCCCCCCCCCCCCACCUGCCCCCCCUACCACCCUGCCCCCACAACCCAACAUGGUGGGGCGAAUUCUCUAGAAGACCUUCAAGGCCCAUUUGUUUGCGUCUGUAAAAGAGACGUGCUACUAAGUUAUUUGGCCGAUGGUGCUGGGGGCGUGCAACCUCUGGAAGUGGGCGGUGUUUAUCUCAAGACCCGUUAAUGCGACAAGAAAGAGGCCGCGAAUGGCUCAUGUUAGUUUUCCUUCAAACAAAAUAAAAGUUUUAUCAAGUGAGGAAGUUCGGCGAAAGGAUGCCACGAAUUCCAAAAGGAUGUACAUAUACAGUCAAAUGUGAGGAGCUGACUUAGUCCACAGAUCAUUUCUAUCCAUCUCUUCACCGUUUCUCUUACCUUUAGCCUUCUACUAACACAGAGAAGCCCACACAGCAGCCAUUCAGACUCUGCUGCUGCUGCUAUGUCCAAAGAACAAUUAGAAAAGUAUUCAGAACACCAGCCAAAGUUACUUUACCUUGCCAAAGUAACUUGACAUUAAACGGAACCUCAGACAAUCGCAUGAAGCACAUAGUUGCAGAUGUUGUUCUGACAAGGGCUAACGUAGAGAGCCUGAUAGGAAACUAGACACCUUCAUUUGCGAGGGGUAACGUGACACAUUCUGCCCUAUUUAACACUGACUUAUAAAAACAUAGUACAUAUCUGUGAAAUUCAGCAGAAGGGUUUGUGCCACUGUCUCUCUGGUAUUCCACCUAGUUUAGUUGGGAGGAUUUGAAAGCGGCAUUAGUGUGAAUGGCCGAGUACAGUCUAUUUUACGUCAGCUGGUCCGUAAUAAAAACGUUUGGCUUCCUCCCAUCCGAAUGGCCAUCCGUUCCAAUAUAUGAACACAUCUCAGUGUUUCAUAGACAAUGUGUAACAUUUACUUACUGAAUGUAUUUAUAGCACAGCACCACCCACCCAACUAGCAAGUACACCAAAACAGCCAUGGACAAACACAAGCAAAACCCCAGCUGACAGAGAUGAACUACUUUUUAGAUUUUAGUGCUCAGUGUAAGGCAGCGACGCCCUGUCGUGUAUUUUGUGCUUGUUUUGUUUAUUAGUUUCUUGUUCUUAUUCUCGCAUUUGUACGUUCAAUGAUGGUUGUAAAAAAAAAAAAAAUUAACUCUGCUUAGCUCUGCUUCAUUUUACAAUCUCCGUUUAAUUGUCGUGCACUGAACGAGUGAUCUAACGUUUAAUGGCGAGGCUUUAAACACCGCAAACAUUUGCAACGUUAUCUAUCUUCACAGCCCUGUGCACCCCGCCCUGGACCCUAUUACCACAGAGUAACAACUGGCUCUUCUAUUUUUUUUUGCUUUAAUUUGUAUACUUUUAUUUAAUUGCAGUGUUUUUGCUCAUACUGUUUCAAUAAAAAAAAAUCAAAUACUAAA
Long non-coding RNA from Gadus macrocephalus (Pacific cod), 3121 nucleotides. RefSeq lists it as uncharacterized. The transcript is spliced from 5 exons. Lineage: Eukaryota; Metazoa; Chordata; Actinopteri; Gadiformes; Gadidae. The record is from RefSeq and is a predicted model, not a curated record.